This 194-nucleotide ribosomal RNA is filed under the name uncultured Desulfovibrionaceae bacterium. Its description in RNAcentral is "partial 16S ribosomal RNA". It matches the Rfam family "Bacterial small subunit ribosomal RNA", at positions 338 to 524 of the family's 1533-position model. The record is from RNAcentral. Lineage: Bacteria; Pseudomonadati; Thermodesulfobacteriota; Desulfovibrionia; Desulfovibrionales; Desulfovibrionaceae.
CCUACGGGAGGCAGCAGUGGGGAAUAUUGCGCAAUGGGCGAAAGCCUGACGCAGCGACGCCGCGUGAGGGAUGAAGGUCUUCGGAUCGUAAACCUCUGUCAGAAGGGAAAAAUGUACAGUGCCCCAAUCAACACUGUAUUGAUGGUACCUUCAGAGGAAGCACCGGCUAACUCCGUGCCAGCAGCCGCGGUAAU